RNAcentral lists this ribosomal RNA (443 nucleotides) under uncultured bacterium. RNAcentral's name for it is "partial 16S ribosomal RNA". It matches the Rfam family "Bacterial small subunit ribosomal RNA", at positions 338 to 795 of the family's 1533-position model. The record is from RNAcentral.
CCUACGGGUGGCAGCAGUGGGGAAUAUUGGGCAAUGGGCGCAAGCCUGACCCAGCAACGCCGCGUGAAGGAAGAAGGCUUUCGGGUUGUAAACUUCUUUUCUGAGGGACGAAGAAAGUGACGGUACCUCAUGUAUAAGCCACGGUUAACUACGUGCCAGCAGCCGCGGUAAUACGUAGGUGGCAAGCGUUAUCCGGAUUUAUUGGGUGUAAAGGGUUUGUAGGCGGGAAAAGAAGUCAGUGGUGAAAGCUCAGGGCUCAACCCUGAUCCUGCAUUUGAAACUGUUUUUCUUGAGUGCUGGAGAGGCAAUCGGAAUUCCGUGUGUAGCGGUGAAAUGCGUAGAUAUACGGAAGAACACCGGUGGCGAAGGCAGAUUGCUGGACAGUAACUGACGCUGAGGCGCGAAAGCGUGGGGAGCAAACAGGAGUAGAUACCCCAGUAGUC